AUUCGACUUAAGUAGAACUAUAUUUCUCGAAUUUCUAAAAAAAUAUAUUAAUUCGUUUAUGUUUAUUUAUUAAUAUAUAUGCUUAGAGUUAUUCCUUUUAGUAUUUUUUAUAAGGUGCAUAUAUAUAUCUUUUUUUUUUUUUUUUUUUUGCACGUUAUACCCUUUUAUUUACCUAUCCAUUUGUGUACUUACUAGUGUUACAAUUUUUCGAUGUUUUUUUUUUUUAUACGUUUUUUUAUCUCGAUCUAAAUUAGAUCUAAAUAUAAUUUUAAAUGGUUAACCAUAAUUAGCAAUACUUGGAAUACCAUUGUAUAAGCCACUUUUUUUUUUUUUUUUUUUUUUUUUUUUUUGUCUUACCAUCCCCUGUAUAAUUAAAAUGAACGCAAAACAGUUCCCCAUAAAAAAGAAUAGUUGCGAAAAGGAUAUUAUAAAUGCACUUAAGUGGAAAAUCAAAGAAAAAAAGAAAGAAUACGCAAGGUUUCGUUUUUUACAAGGUAAUCAUAUUGAGAAGAAAGGAGAGGGGAAUGACAAUAUUUUCAUGGCUAGUAAAAAAAACAACAAUAAUAAUAACAAUAAUAAUAACAAUAAUAAUAACAAUAAUAAUAACAAUAAUAAUAACAAUAAUAAUGACAAUAAUAAUAAUAAUGAUGAUAAUAAUGAUGAUAAUGAUGAUGAUAGUAAGUGUGUUGAAUCAUCAAAGAUUGUUUAUGUAUAUACAUGUAAUAGUGAUAACAAAUAUGUUUUAAAUAUAGAUGAUGACGAUGACAGUGAUGGAUAUAGACAUUUUCAAAAAUUAAACAAUAGAUUUGUUGAUAAUUUAAGAAGAGUUAAAAAUGGAAAGAGUAUUAAACAAAAUAAUAAAUUUGAAAAAGAGGAAAGGAUACAUAUACCUUUAAAUAUAUUAACAAAUAGAUAUGAUUGUUGGGAUGUGUUACAAGCAACUAAUAAUCUGGCAGAAGAAAAUAGAUUAGGUACUGGAGGUAAUGGUGUAGUAUAUAAAGGUUUACUAAAAGGAUGUAUUCCUGUUGCUGUAAAAGUUUUAAAAAGAAAUGAAAAUAAUGGUUUUGAAAAUGAAAUGAUAAUUAUGAGUAGGUAUAGACAUAAAAAUAUUUUAUCGUUAUUAGGUUAUGCUAAAGAUCGUAUUAAUUUUUAUUUAAUAUUUGAAUAUAUUAUUUUAGGAGAUUUAAGAACUCUUUUAUAUAAUCAUCAUUAUUUUUACAAAACAAAAAAUAAUUAUAAUGCUUCUGCAUCAUUUUUUAAUUCAUGUUCUAUUUCAAAUCAAAAACAGUCUUGUUUUUGUCAGUCCCAUUACGGUUUAAUGAAUAGCAAUAAACAGCCUUUUAUUCUGAAUAAUAGGAAUAUCGGUACUAAUGGCGUCAAAUUUUACAAUACUUGUGGUAGUAGCAAACAUAAAAAUCUGAAUUUAACCUGUAUAAAUCAUUUAAGAAAUAUGAAUAAUCCUAGUCAACAAGAAACACAACAUGGUAAUCAAAUAACUCCCCCAUAUUUAUCUUCUAGUACUAGAAUUAAUAUAUUAACACAAGUAAUAAAUGCUUUGUGUUAUUUACAUACUUCGAAUCCUGUAGUAUAUCAUAGAGACUUAAAAUCAGCAAACAUUUUAAUUGAUGAUAAGUUUAAUGUCAAAUUAGGAGAUUUUGGUUUAUCUUUUAUUUAUAUAAAAAACAAUAACGUGUUUAACCUGACUGGU
Piliocolobus tephrosceles (Ugandan red Colobus) is the source of this 1708-nucleotide long non-coding RNA. The record is from Ensembl. NCBI's taxonomy places the organism in Eukaryota, Metazoa, Chordata, Mammalia, Primates, Cercopithecidae.